Molecule: ribosomal RNA, 311 nt
Filed under: uncultured bacterium
Lineage: Bacteria
Description: bacterial SSU rRNA
Rfam family: Bacterial small subunit ribosomal RNA
Source: RNAcentral
GACGAACGCUGGCGGCGCGCCUAACACAUGCAAGUCGAACGAGCGAGAGAGAGCUUGCUUUCUCAAGCGAGUGGCGAACGGGUGAGUAACGCGUGAGGAACCUGCCUCAAAGAGGGGGACAACAGUUGGAAACGACUGCUAAUACCGCAUAAGCCCACAGCUCGGCAUCGAGCAGAGGGAAAAGGAGUGAUCCGCUUUGAGAUGGCCUCGCGUCCGAUUAGCUAGUUGGUGAGGUAACGGCUUACCAAGGCGACGAUACAUAGCCGACCUGAGAGGGUGAUCGGCCACACUGGGACUGAGACACGGCCCAG